AGAGCGAACGCUGGCGGCAGGCUUAACACAUGCAAGUCGAGCGCCCCGCAAGGGGAGCGGCAGACGGGAGAGUAACACGUGGGAACGUACCUUUCGGUUCGGAACAACCCAGGGAAACUUGGGCUAAUACCGGAUACGCCCGUAAGGGGAAAGAUUUAUCGCCGAAAGAUCGGCCCGCGUCUGAUUAGCUAGUUGGUGAGGUAACGGCUCACCAAGGCGACGAUCAGUAGCUGGUCUGAGAGGAUGAUCAGCCACACUGGGACUGAGACACGGCCCAGACUCCUACGGGAGGCAGCAGUGGGGAAUAUUGGACAAUGGGCGCAAGCCUGAUCCAGCAAUGCCGCGUGAGUGAUGAAGGCCUUAGGGUUGUAAAGCUCUUUCGGCGGGGACGAUGAUGACGGUACCCGCAGAAGAAGCCCCGGCUAACUUCGUGCCAGCAGCCGC
RNAcentral lists this ribosomal RNA (444 nucleotides) under uncultured bacterium. RNAcentral describes it as "SSU rRNA". It matches the Rfam family "Bacterial small subunit ribosomal RNA", at positions 26 to 518 of the family's 1533-position model. The record is from RNAcentral.